ACUUGGUUGGGUUGCUGCUGGCUCUUAGGAGCAUGUGCACACCUAAUGCCAUUUUUAACCACCUGUGCACCCUUUGUAGAUUCUGAAGUACCUUUCGAGGAAACUCGGUUUGAGAACUGCUGUGCUGAAAAGCCAGCUUUUCUUGCAUUUCAGGUCUAUGUUUUUAUAUACCCCACAAGAAUGUAUUAGAAUGUUGUCAAUAGGCCUCUGUGCCUUUAAAACAAAUACAACUUUCAACAACGGAUCUCUUGGCUCUCGCAUCGAUGAAGAACGCAGCGAAAUGCGAUAAGUAAUGUGAAUUGCAGAAUUCAGUGAAUCAUCGAAUCUUUGAACGCACCUUGCGCUCCUUGGUAUUCCGAGGAGCAUGCCUGUUUGAGUGUCAUGAAAUUCUCAACCUUUCUGGCUUUGGCUGGUCAGGCUUGGAUUGUGGGAGCUGCUGGCUUUGCAGAAAAGUCAGCUCUCCUUAAAUGCAUUAGCAAAAUCUUUGCUAGGCCAUCUUUGGUGUGAUAAUUAUCUAUGCCACUGAUGCUUAGCUUCCUUGCAAGAGGGUGGUUUAGCUUCUAACUGUCCAUCUUGGACAAUUUUUUGACAAU
Molecule: unclassified non-coding RNA, 593 nt
Filed under: Entoloma mirum
Lineage: Eukaryota; Fungi; Basidiomycota; Agaricomycetes; Agaricales; Entolomataceae
Description: sequence contains ITS1, 5.8S rRNA gene and ITS2
Rfam family: 5.8S ribosomal RNA (bases 229-382)
Source: RNAcentral